RNAcentral lists this ribosomal RNA (497 nucleotides) under uncultured bacterium. Its description in RNAcentral is "partial 16S ribosomal RNA". It matches the Rfam family "Bacterial small subunit ribosomal RNA", at positions 28 to 507 of the family's 1533-position model. The record is from RNAcentral.
GAUGAACGCUGGCGGCGUGCCUAAUACAUGCAAGUCGAGCGAAAAGAUGAGGAGCUUGCUCCUCUGACGUUAGCGGCGGACGGGAGAGUAACACGUGGAUAAUCUACCUAUAAGUCUGGUAUAACUACGGGAAACCGGAGCUAAUCCCGGAUAAUAUACUGAACCGCAUGGGUCAAUAGUGAAAGUCGGUUUUUCGGUCACUUAUAGAUGGAUCCGCGCCGCAUUAGCUAGUUGGUAAGUUACAGGCUUAUCACGGCAACGAUGCGUAGCCGACCUGAGAGAGUGAUCGGCGACACGGGAGCGGGAACACGGUCCAGGCUCCUACGAGAGGCAGCAGUAGGGAAUCUGCCGCAGUGGGCGAGAGCCUGGCGGAACAACGCCGCGUGAGUUAUAGAAGUCUUCGGAGCGUAAAACUCUGUUAUGAGUGAAAAACAAAUGUGUAAGUAGCUAUGCACGUCGUGACGGUACCGGAUCAGAAAGCCACGGCUAACUACGUG